GAUGAAGAACGUAGCGAAAUGCGAUAAGUAAUGCGAAUUGCAGAAUUCAGUGAGUCAUCGAAUCUUUGAACGCACAUUGCGCCCUGUGGUAUUCCGCAGGGCAUGCCUGUUCGAGCGUCAUUUCAACCCUCAAGCUCUGCUUGGUGUUGGGCCCUGCCCGCUGCGGCCGGCCCUAAAGACAGUGGCGGUGCCGCCUGGCCCUGAGCGUAGUACAUCUCUCGCUCCAGUGCCCGACGGUGGCCUGCCAGAACCCCAACUCUCGUGGUUGACCUCGGAUCAGGUAGGGAUACCCGCUGAACUUAAGCAUAUCAAUAAGCGGAGGA
RNAcentral lists this unclassified non-coding RNA (323 nucleotides) under soil metagenome. Its description in RNAcentral is "partial contains 5.8S ribosomal RNA, internal transcribed spacer 2, and large subunit ribosomal RNA". The stretch from base 1 to 120 matches the Rfam family "5.8S ribosomal RNA", at positions 35 to 154 of the family's 154-position model. The record is from RNAcentral.